Molecule: long non-coding RNA, 811 nt
Organism: Dalotia coriaria
Lineage: Eukaryota; Metazoa; Arthropoda; Insecta; Coleoptera; Staphylinidae
Exons: 2
Source: RefSeq, a predicted model, not a curated record
CUUAAUACGGCUCUUGUUUUUUAAAAAGCAUUGAGAUUGUCGAAUGACCCACGCCAAAUUCGGAUUAAUGGAAAAUACGGAUUAAGUCGUGGUCAAGGUGCUGCUGCCCGAAUGCUUAUAUUUACUAUUUAAGCAUUUGGUCUUUCCGAUAGUAAAUACAUAAAAGUAAUUUGACAAUCAUAAAAGAAAUGUAGCAAUAAAUAUAAAAAGUUCGCCACGUGUCGAACGUCGUCGGGUAUCAACGAACAUUACCGGAGGUGUCAAGAAUCAUGUUGGUCAUUAUAACCGGACAUAAUCUAUUAAAAAUGGGUCAUAAUAAGCGACAUGUCACUGUAAGCGAAGUCAUUAUAUCCGACUUUUUUAUACAGAAUUUUAUAUAAAAACCAAACUUGGUAGUGUAGUUACGUCAUAAUAACCGGUUGGUCAAUAUAAGCGGAGUCACAAUAAACGGAUUCUACUGUAAUUACGUCAUAAUAACCGGUUGGUUAAUAUAGGCGGAUUCAUAACACGGCUCAACAAAAAAAAUACAUAUAUGUGGUCAAUUUAUAUAAGUUCGAGACACAAAAUUUGAACUGAAGACAUCACAGGUUCUCUGUGAAGCUUACGAAGCAUAUUUUUAUUUUCCUGUUCGCAAUCAAGACAAGUCAUGGGCCCCACAUGUUGCUUGUAGUAGUUGUAAAAGAUCUUUGGAAGGUUGGUAUCGAGGAGAGAAAAGAUUUAUGAAAUUCGCAGUACCAAGAAUCUGGCGAGAACCGAAAGACCACGUUGUAAAUCCAAAUAAAAGAGCGCAAAAAAUGCAAAACCUAUUGAA